This is a long non-coding RNA of Salvia hispanica, 1326 nucleotides long. RefSeq lists it as uncharacterized. The record is from RefSeq and is a predicted model, not a curated record. Lineage: Eukaryota; Viridiplantae; Streptophyta; Magnoliopsida; Lamiales; Lamiaceae.
UUCAAACACUCUCUGCAAAAAUUUGAUUGAGUGGAAAUUGGUUUGAUCUCGAAAUUCCGAAUUUUUAAUCUCAACAGAUUUGAAACCUCGAUUUUUAGCCGAAGUUGGAUUUGCGGCCGCAGCUCAGCUCCAUCUCUGUAUAUCCUCCUCAAUCUAGUCAGUGAAGCUGUUAAUAAAAAUUAGUGAAUGUUGCUCGGAUGUUGAUUUUUCGCCCUGUUGGUUGGCAUACAUUGAAUUGACUCAAUAAGGAGAUCGAGUGGGGUUUCCAGUGGAUUAGAGUCUUCUUCGAUCCCAGACGGCUUCACAGCUUCGGCCACAACAACCUCAGCUGAGUUUCUUCAGUUUUCAUACAAUUCUCAAGAUGAAAUUAUGACUAAUGAGAAAAUGCAAUCUCAUGAUAGAAUGAGUUCAGCGAGGAGGACAAGCUGCUUGCCUUUAACUUUUAAGUGAAUCUGCACGAGAGGAGAAUCAGAUGAUUGUAUCUACAACAUCCAACCACUUGAGGUGCAAGUGGUCUAGUCAAGAACACAAAUGUCAUUUAACGAAGAGCUCUAACACAGAAUUGGAACGAUAAAAAAUUCAUUGAGCAGGCUUGGACUGAUCUUGGACUCUGUUCAGGGUGACAUCAUGCAAGUAAACAAGCAAAAGAUAUGAGGCAGAAAUUGAAUUCCCAUGAUGAAACUCACUGCAGCUGGUGGUGGGAUGUUUCAGAAGGCUCUCACACAAAUCUGUGUUUUAUAAAGGGCAUGCCAUUGGCUUUAGAACAUGUUAAAUUGUGAUUAAACAGGUCAACGGACAAGAAGCCAUCAAAAGUGGCCUGGACACGGGCUUGAAAUCUCUGUCUGAUCAACUCAACAGGGUCUAAAGCACUCCACUCUGAAACUGCUGUCGCCUGUCACCCUUCUCAUCAAGAAGUUCAGUUUCCAGACAAUACAACAAGGCAAUUAAAAACAUGGCAAACAACUCUAUUACCACCAAAGGCAAAAUUGGGAGGCUGGACGUGUCAAAAUGAGAACUUUUCGAUGUUCGCACCUGAUUCCAAGUGUGACUUCUUGUUUUUGUUAGAAACAGAUAAAUAUUCAAUAGAGGAAGUAAAAAAAUGAUACUGCACGAAUCCUCAGCAAGCCAGGAGGAGGAGAAAAAGAAAAUAUUGCAACACCAUUAUCAUAAAUUGAAGGUAUUCCGUUGCUAUCAGACAGUUGUCAUUUUGAGCUCAUAAAAUUAUCCAUUGCAAAAUGAAACUCUAAUAGUACUAACUAAAUCACUAAAGUGAUUUCCUCCUAUCUCUCUAGAUAACCAUGUCAUUUUGUGGAGCCAUUAACUGAA